GACGAACGCUGGCGGCGUGCCUAAUACAUGCAAGUCGAGCGGAUGGAAGGAAGCUUGCUUCCUAAAGUCAGCGGCGGACGGGUGAGUAACACGUGGGCAACCUGCCCCUAAGAUCGGGAUAACUUCGGGAAACCGGAGCUAAUACCGGAUAUGAUUAUGUCUCACAUGAGACAUAAUGGAAAGACGGUUUCGGCUGUCACUUAGGGAUGGGCCCGCGGCGCAGUAGCGAGUUGGUGAGGUAACGGCUCACCAAGGCGACGAUGCGUAGCCGACCUGGGAGGGUGAUCGGCCACACUGGGACGGAGACACGGCCCAGACUCCUAGGGGAGGCAGCAGUAGAGAAUCUUCCGCAAUGGACGAAGGUCUGACGGAGAAACGCCGCGGGAGUGAAGAAGUUUUUCGGAUCGUAAAUCUCUGUUGUUAGGGAAGAACAAGUACCAUAGUAACUGAUGGUACCUUGACGGUCCCUAACCAGAAAGCCACGGCUAACUACGUGCCAGCCGCCGCGGUAA
Molecule: ribosomal RNA, 512 nt
Filed under: uncultured bacterium
Lineage: Bacteria
Description: partial 16S ribosomal RNA
Rfam family: Bacterial small subunit ribosomal RNA
Source: RNAcentral